UACCCCUNANCCUCCCCUGGGAGUCGCCCCAAGUUGAACNCAAAGGAUUNACGGGGGCCCACAGCGGUGNGCNUNUGUUUNANUNGAAGCAACGCGAAGAACCUUCCAGGUUUNACAUCCCUCUGACCGCUCUAGAGAUAGAGCUUUNCNUCGGNACAGAGGUGACAGGUGGUGCAUNGUUGUCGUCAGCUCGUNUCGUGAGAUGUUGGGUUAAGUCCCGCAACGAGCGCAACCCCUAUUGUUAGUUGCCAUCAUUCAGUUGGGCACUCUAGCGAGACUGCCGGUAAUAAACCGGAGGAAGGUGGGGAUGACGUCAAAUCAUCAUGCCCCUUAUGACCUGGGCUACACACGUGCUACAAUGGCUGGUACAACGAGUCGCAAGCCGGUGACGGCAAGCUAAUCUCUUAAAGCCAGUCUCAGUUCGGAUUGUAGGCUGCAACUCGCCUACAUGAAGUCGGAAUCGCUUGUAAUCGCGGAUCAGCACNCCGCGGUGAAUACGUUCCCGGNCCUUGUACACACCGCCCGUCACACCACGAGAGUUUGUAACACCCGAAGUCGGUGACAUAC
RNAcentral lists this ribosomal RNA (567 nucleotides) under uncultured bacterium. RNAcentral describes it as "partial 16S ribosomal RNA". It matches the Rfam family "Bacterial small subunit ribosomal RNA", at positions 874 to 1438 of the family's 1533-position model. The record is from RNAcentral.